GUGCCAGCCGCCGCGGUAAUACCGGCAGCCCGAGUGAUGGCCGAUCUUAUUGGGCCUAAAGCGUCCGUAGCUGGCCGCGCAAGUCCAUCGGGAAAUCCACCUGCUCAACAGGUGGGCGCCCGGUGGAAACUGUGCGGCUUGGGACCGGAAGGCGCGACGGGUACGUCCGGGGUAGGAGUGAAAUCCCGUAAUCCCGGACGGACUACCGAUGGCGAAAGCACUCUGAGAAGACGGCUUCGACAGUGAGGGACGAAAGCUCGGGUCUCAAACCGGAUUAGAAACCCGGGUAGUCC
Molecule: ribosomal RNA, 293 nt
Filed under: uncultured bacterium
Lineage: Bacteria
Description: partial 16S ribosomal RNA
Rfam family: Archaeal small subunit ribosomal RNA
Source: RNAcentral